This 256-nucleotide ribosomal RNA is filed under the name uncultured bacterium. Its description in RNAcentral is "partial 16S ribosomal RNA". It matches the Rfam family "Bacterial small subunit ribosomal RNA", at positions 29 to 267 of the family's 1533-position model. The record is from RNAcentral.
AACGAACGCUGGCGGCGUGGAUAAGACAUGCAAGUCGAACGUUGCUUGUCAAAUAGUAAUAUUUGGCUAGCGACGUGGCGAAAGGGUGCGUAACAUGUGGGUAAUCUGCCGUAAAGUUCGGAAUAACUUGUUGAAAAAUAAACUAAUGCCGAAUGUAAAAAUAAAGGAAAUCCUUUGUUUUUAAAGUUGGGACCGCAAGGCCUGAUGCUUUACGAUGAGCCCGCAACCUAUCAGCUAGUUGGUGAAGAAUUGCUUA